RNAcentral lists this ribosomal RNA (443 nucleotides) under uncultured Clostridium sp. RNAcentral's name for it is "partial 16S ribosomal RNA". It matches the Rfam family "Bacterial small subunit ribosomal RNA", at positions 341 to 792 of the family's 1533-position model. Lineage: Bacteria; Bacillati; Bacillota; Clostridia; Eubacteriales; Clostridiaceae. The record is from RNAcentral.
ACGGGAGGCAGCAGUGGGGAAUAUUGCACAAUGGGCGCAAGCCUGAUGCAGCGAUGCCGCGUGAGGGAAGAAGUAUUUCGGUAUGUAAAGCUCUAUCAGCAGGGAAGAAAAAAUCAAAAUUGACAGUACCUGACUAAGAAGCCCCGGCUAACUACGUGCCAGCAGCCGCGGUAAUACGUAGGGGGCAAGCGUUAUCCGGAAUUACUGGGUGUAAAGGGAGUGUAGGCGGGACUGUAAGUCAGAUGUGAAAUAUGCCGGCUCAACUGGCAGACUGCAUUUGAAACUGCGGUUCUUGAGUGAAGUAGAGGUAAGCGGAAUUCCUAGUGUAGCGGUGAAAUGCGUAGAUAUUAGGAGGAACAUCAGUGGCGAAGGCGGCUUACUGGGCCUUAACUGACGCUGAGGCUCGAAAGCGUGGGGAGCAAACAGGAUUAGAUACCCUGGUA